UUUUAACUCCGAAGCGGAGUAAUGCCAUAGUAAGGCAUAAGUAAUUAGUUAAAAU
This 55-nucleotide transfer RNA is filed under the name Monotropa uniflora (ghost pipe). Its description in RNAcentral is "tRNA-Thr". Lineage: Eukaryota; Viridiplantae; Streptophyta; Magnoliopsida; Ericales; Ericaceae. The record is from RNAcentral.